GGUAGUAAUGUCUGGGAAACUGCCUGAUGGAGGGGGAUAACUACUGGAAACGGUAGCUAAUACCGCAUAACGUCGCAAGACCAAAGAGGGGGACCUUCGGGCCUCUUGCCAUCAGAUGUGCCCAGAUGGGAUUAGCUAGUAGGUGGGGUAACGGCUCACCUAGGCGACGAUCCCUAGCUGGUCUGAGAGGAUGACCAGCCACACUGGAACUGAGACACGGUCCAG
RNAcentral lists this ribosomal RNA (225 nucleotides) under uncultured Enterobacterales bacterium. RNAcentral describes it as "partial 16S ribosomal RNA". It matches the Rfam family "Bacterial small subunit ribosomal RNA", at positions 105 to 334 of the family's 1533-position model. Lineage: Bacteria; Pseudomonadati; Pseudomonadota; Gammaproteobacteria; Enterobacterales. The record is from RNAcentral.